GGGAUGCGCGGGGCGGGGAGUUUACGGGAAGCGCAGCCUCGGCGGGGCCCGGCCGGCGGCGGGGAGGUCGCGGGGCCGGGAGGCGCGAGAAAAAGAAAAACAUCCAUUCAUGAGAGUUCAGGGAUACGUGAAAAUGAAGCAAAUGAGGAAAGACCCAUUCACAUUCCUCCAAAAGAUCUGUGGCUCACUGGAAUCAUGUUACUGGCUCCUGGUAGUCCCUGACUUUACCUGUUUGUUCCAGGAACUUGCUUUAUGGCCAUUUGUUCUAAUGAUCAGUUUGGACAACCAACCUUUAUUCCUCCACCUCAGACAAUAUUCAACAUCCUGUAAUCAUCAUAGCGAAAUGAUCUACAUUUCUGGUUAUCUACUUGGGACAUUUCACAGAAGAGUGAUUACCUGGUGAAAAGAAAAUGAACAAUGAUAAGACUCUUGAUACCUAUUGCCACUUACUGUUUUCUGGUAUUGUACCAAUUUGUUCUCUCACAAGCACUAUAUGAGGGAAUCUAUCUCGUCCAAUAUCAUUAGAUGCUUUCAUUAAAAAAAAAACUUGGCUAAUUUGACAGGAAAAAA
This is a long non-coding RNA of Homo sapiens (human), 570 nucleotides long. Lineage: Eukaryota; Metazoa; Chordata; Mammalia; Primates; Hominidae. The record is from Ensembl.